This 239-nucleotide microRNA precursor is filed under the name Cajanus cajan (pigeon pea). RNAcentral describes it as "miRNA gene-KK1_050481". Lineage: Eukaryota; Viridiplantae; Streptophyta; Magnoliopsida; Fabales; Fabaceae. The record is from RNAcentral.
ACGAUCCAACUGUUUAAUUUAAAAUUCUUAAUGCAUAGAUCAAAUCUGCAAAUUUUUAGAAAAUUUAAAAAUCAUUUGAUACUUCAUUUCAUUAAUUCAAAUUGACAGAUAAUCAUAAAAUUAUUUUAUACAUUGAUUUGAUUUAAUGAAACGAAGUAUCAAAUGAUUUUCAAUUUUUUUUUAAAAAUUUGCAGAUUUGAUCUAUGCAUUGAGAACUUUAAAUUGAAUGGUUGAAUCAU